This is a non-coding RNA of Symsagittifera roscoffensis, 74 nucleotides long. NCBI's taxonomy places the organism in Eukaryota, Metazoa, Xenacoelomorpha, Acoela, Convolutidae. The record is from the annotation of a RefSeq genome assembly.
GCUCUUGUGGCGCAAUCGGCUAGAGCGUUCGGCUGUAAACCGAAAGGUUGGUGGUUCAAGCCCACCCAGGAGCG